Molecule: ribosomal RNA, 213 nt
Filed under: Escherichia coli
Lineage: Bacteria; Pseudomonadati; Pseudomonadota; Gammaproteobacteria; Enterobacterales; Enterobacteriaceae
Description: partial 16S ribosomal RNA
Rfam family: Bacterial small subunit ribosomal RNA
Source: RNAcentral
UCUGGGAAACUGCCUGAUGGAGGGGGAUAACUACUGGAAACGGUAGCUAAUACCGCAUAACGUCGCAAGACCAAAGAGGGGGACCUUCGGGCCUCUUGCCAUCGGAUGUGCCCAGAUGGGAUUAGCUUGUUGGUGGGGUAACGGCUCACCAAGGCGACGAUCCCUAGCUGGUCUGAGAGGAUGACCAGCCACACUGGAACUGAGACACGGUCC